RNAcentral lists this long non-coding RNA (3847 nucleotides) under Lotus japonicus. RNAcentral's name for it is "long non-coding RNA (LJAP_LNC002181)". Lineage: Eukaryota; Viridiplantae; Streptophyta; Magnoliopsida; Fabales; Fabaceae. The record is from RNAcentral.
UGUCCUCUAGGCCUCAGAGAGAGAAGCUCAUGCAGGAAGUGGCCUCCACCUUCAAUGGCAAGCUCAAAAUCUUUGUAAGUAUUCAAUAGUGCUAAAAGCAUUUUUUUGUUUGUUUCCGAAGAUAUUCCUCAGCCGACAGACAUGAGACUAAUCCCUCAAGGCUCAGAGAUCAUGUUAAGUGGAGUGGGUAGGUCUCUCCCAACAAAUGAUUUUCCAUAGGCACUGCCUAGGGUUCAAACCCUGAACUAAAUGUUUAAGGAUUCUAACUAUCUACUAAUUGUACUACACCUUUUUGAUAGUGCUAAAAGCAUAAAAAAGGGCUUGGAGAAAGCCAUUAGAUUGUGUUUGUAGAUCUAUUCAGAAGAUUGUGGAACUCUGAUACCUUGAAUUUGGCAUGAUCACUGGAACUUAGACUACAUUUAGAUAUAUGAUGCAAGUGGAAUGGAAUGGAAAGGAUAGAAGAUAGUGGAAUGAAAAAUAACUGGAAUGAAAAAAAAAUACCAUUUUAUUGUUUGGAUAGUUUAAGGAUGAUAUUGACUUUUUGCAUGCCAUUCUCUAUGAAUCGGAGGGUAUGAAAAAAUGGAGCAUUGCUUUCAAAAUAGCCUCCUUUCAUCUAAUUUACCUGUCACGAAUCAUAAAUAUGCAUGACAUUGUGCUUCAGAUAAACAAUGUAGGAACAAACUUUAGAAAGCCAACAGUUGAGUACACUGCUGAAGAAUAUUCAGAGCUGAUGACUGUUAAUUUAGACUCUGCAUUCCAUCUGUGCCAACUUGCCCAUCCUCUUCUAAAAGCAUCUGGGGUGGGCAGCAUCGUGUUCAUUUCAUCUGUUGCAGGAGUGGUGAGCUUGGGUACUGGAUCUGUCUAUGCAGCAUGUAAAGGUGAGUACUGCACUCAUCAGGUCUUCUGUCUCAUAUAGAUAUGAUUUAAUAAAAUGUUAGCAUGAGCAAAGAGAGGCAAUAAUAUUUUGUCCACUGAUUUUUCAGCUGCAAUUAAUCAGCUUACAAAGAAUCUGGCUUGUGAAUGGGCAAAAGACAACAUAAGGAGCAAUUGUGUUGUGCCAUGGGCAACCAGAACCCCACUUGUAGAACAUGUAAUUUUCUUGUUCUCUACCUUUCUUCAUCUUUGCUGUUUCCCCUUCUAAGUGAAGCAUUAAAAAAAAACUAUUUAUUGCAUAUUUGGACACACCGUGGAAAAGCAGGAUGAAGCCAAAAUCACAAUGGACAGAAGCAACUUCUCUUAGCUUUUGCUUGUCCACCUUGAUUUUGGCCUCACUGUGCUAUUCUAUCGUGGAUCCAAACAUAUAGACAAGACAUUAGCUAACCAUCCAAACCUGCAGAAUUGCGAAAGAAGCACUGAGCUAAUUUUACCACUUUCAUAACUUUAUACAGACAUUUUCUAUGUCUACUCAUCAUUGCUUCACCAAAAUAUUAGCAUGUUAAUAUGUCAUAUACAAUGAACUCCCAAAAUUAAUACCAAUUUAAAUAUGUCUACAUAGUACCAAACCACUGAUCCCAACAUGCUAAGCUUUUAGAAUCUAGAAGGUCUGUUAUUUUUGCUAUCACAGUAUUUCCUGCAUUAUGCACUGAGGGUCUGCUUUCAAAUUUCAACAGUUAUAAAAGAAAUUGUACUUAUAAGCUUUCUUUCACCACCACCUCUUUUAUGGAUAGGCAGUAGCAUGGGUGGAAUAAUAUAUAGUGUUUCUCUAUGCCAUUAUGUUUAAUCCACAAUAUAGAUUUUGAAGUCAAUAUUGGACAACCAACCUAGUAGAAUUUUAUAGUUUUUCUACUUCGAAUUUAUAUGACCAUUGUAUUGAGAUAAUCAGAUUUUUAUUCAUUACAUGUAUGUGCAUCAUCAUUAAGCAAAUAUUUGUAUUCAAUGUUUUAGCAAUUUGAAUUUUGAAUUCUUAAAUUGUUUACUCCAACCUUUUUCUUUUUUGUAGUUGUUUCAAAACCAAAAGUUUGUGGAUGAUAUCAUGUCUCGAACCCCUCUUAAGCGCAUUGCAGAACCCGAAGAAGUGUCAUCGUUGGUGGCUUUCCUUUGUUUGCCUGCUGCGUCUUACAUCACUGGACAGGGUAUUUGUGUUGAUGGAGGACUAACAGUGUAGGGAUUUCAACCCAGCAUGAGAAUCACCUGAAAUUCUGUAUUUGUUAGUCUAAGUGGAAUAAAUUAUUCUCAUUUUGUUUCAACUCUGCUGGUAGCUGUAUCAGUAUGUGACAAACCUUGAUCUGCAAUUAUGUUUUCUUUUUCUUUUGAUAUGAGAAUGGUUUGUUGUAGUUAACUCAUGAAGUGUUUAUUCUUGAACUGCUUGUUCUUUUUAGUUCUUUUGUGCACUUCUUCUCCCUUCCAUUUUUCUUUUUCAUCAAUUAGCUUCUUUUUUCUGACACAUGCACAGCUUUCUUUCAUUGUUUUCUGGUUACUUUAGUUGUAGGUACUUUCUGAUUGAUUCAGCAAGUGAAAAUGUGAGUUUUUGAGAGGCUUUGCGACUAUGCUUCAGAUUGAGUCCCUGUGAAAGAGUGGGAAUAGUUGAAGUUGCAAUAAGAAAAAAAAACAAAAGAGUAUGUGUAGCAUUAGCAUACGAACCAGAAAUAGAGGUAGAGGAGGGUGUCGACCUUGAGAGAUGAUUGCGAUGAAGUUUGGAAGUGGAUCAGACAUUAAGAAUGAGAACAAAAGCCAUUCCUUACGAACUGCGACAACAAACAACCAUGUGGUCAUGUGGAUGUGGAUAAAGUCACACGUGGGAUAUAUCAUCCACAUUAAUUUUUGUUGAGAAAAGCAGAAACACAGUGAGAUUUUGUUUUAGCCCCCUGCUCAAGUAAAGUUGAAAAAACAUCCAUGCGGUUAGAGAUAUAACAAGGUUUAAUCAUUGUCCGAACUGAAGUUCCGGUCGCUUUGUCUGAUAUGACACAUCCAUAUGUAUAAAUGGAGCUGAGUGACAACCAAAAGUAAUUAUCUAAAUUUUAAGUCCCAUCUGUGUAAUUAAUAAUUAAAAGUAAAUUCUAAAUUAAAAGUAAAAACUAAGAAAAAACCCUUAAUCUUUAAUUAACUAAACUAAUCUAAUUCCAAAAUUACCUAAAUAAAACCUACUCUAAAUCCCUCUUCCUUAUCUAAUUAAAUAUGUUUUUGGAUGCUUUCACAGAAUAAUGACAAGCAUGUGAUGCACAAGAGUAAAAUAUAGACAUGACUUUUGACUUUUUGAGUGCAAUAGAGAAGAGGGAACUUAGAAGGGAGUAGAGAUCAAUGGCAGAAGCUCAUAGCAGUAUCAGAGGACCAAGAUGGUCUCUCAAUGGAAAGACAGCUCUUGUCACUGGUGGCACUCGUGGAAUUGGGUUCUCAUUCUAUCCUGCUCACUCAAACUUCCAUUUUGCUACAUGUAUGCUAAUUUAGUUUAUUCUGAUUGAUCCAUUUGAAACAAACUGUGUUUAGGCAUGCCAUAGUGAAUGAUCUAGCGGCGUUUGGUGCUGCUGUGGACACUUGUUCCAGGACAGAAUCCGAGCUCAAUACGUGCUUGCAAGAAUGGCAAAGUCAGGGCUUUUUGGUUACUGGGUCAGUCUGUGAUGUUACAUCUAGACCCCAAAGAGAGAAGCUCAUGCAGGAAGUAGCCUCCACCUUCAAUGGCAAGCUCAACAUCUAUGUAACUAUUCAAUAAUGCUAACCAUAUAAAGGGGAUGGACAAAGCCAUUACAAUUAGACUGUGUAAUAGAUCUAUGCAGAAGAGUGUGAAUUAGACAUUUUGAUUCUUGUUUCAUAUUCUGUGUAUAACUUUUUUGGCACUAUCAUGUAGUCAUGCAUAUUAUUGUCACAUAAUUGGAAAAAAAUUGAAUUAACAUAUGACAUUGUGCUUUAGAUA